AAAGGACCUAACAGGGAUUCCCCUAGUAACUGCGAGUGAAGCGGGAAGAGCUCAAAUUUGUAAUCUGGCGGUUCUGCCGUCCGAGUUGUAAUCUGGAGAAGCGUUUUCCGUGCCGGACCGUGUACAAGUCCCUUGGAACAGGGCGUCAUAGAGGGUGAGAAUCCCGUCUCUGACACGGACUGCCGGUGCUCUGCGAUGCGCUCUCGAAGAGUCGAGUUGUUUGGGAAUGCAGCUCAAAAUGGGUGGUAAAUUCCAUCUAAAGCUAAAUAUUGGCGAGAGACCGAUAGCGAACAAGUACCGUGAGGGAAAGAUGAAAAGCACUUUGGAAAGAGAGUAAAACAGUACGUGAAAUUGUUGAAAGGGAAACGCUUGAAGUCAGUCGCGUCUUCCGGAACUCAGCCUUGCUUCUGCUCGGUGCACUUUCCGGUGUGACGGGCCAGCAUCGGCUUCGCGGGGCGGACAAAGGGGAGGGGAAGGUGGCAGCUCCGGCUGUGUUAUAGCCCCUCUCUGCACGCGUCCCGCGGGGCCGAGGAAUCCGGCGCUUGCGCCUGGGAUGCUGGCGUAAUGGCUUUAAGCGACCCGUCUUGAAACACGGACCAAGGAGUGCUACAUGCUCGCGAGUGUUUGGGUGAAAAACCCGGGCGCGUAAUGAAAGUGAAAGUCGAUACCCUUUGCUGGGGCACCGACGCCCGAGCCCGAUGUUUUCGGAGGGCCUUGCGGUAGAGCGAGUAUGUUGCGACCCGAAAGAUGGUGAACUAUUCCUGAGGAGGGCGAAGCCAGAGGAAACUCUGGUGGAGGCUCGUAGCGGUUCUGACGUGCAAAUCGAUCGCAGGACUUGGGUAUAGGGGCGAAAGACUAAUCGAACCAUCUAGUAGCUGGUUCCUGCCGAAGUUUCCCUCAGGAUAGCAGAAGCUCAGAUCAGAUUUAUGUGGUAAAGCGAAUGAUUAGAGGCCUUGGGGUUGAAACAACCUUAACCUAUUCUCAAACUUUAAAUAUGUAAGAACGAGCCGUCGCUUGGUUGGACCGCUCGACGAUUGAGAGCUUCUAGUGGGCCAUUUUUGGUAAGCAGAACUGGCGAUGCGGGAUGAACCGAACGCGAGGUUAAGGUGCCGGAAUGCACGCUCAUCAGACACCACAAAAGGUGUUAGUUCAUCUAGACAGCAGGACGGUGGCCAUGGAAGUCGGAAUCCGCUAAGGAGUGUGUAACAACUCACCUGCCGAAUGAACUAGCCCUGAAAAUGGAUGGCGCUCAAGCGUGCUACCCAUACCUCGCCGUCAGCGUUGAAGUGACGCGCUGACGAGUAGGCAGGCGUGGGGGUCGGGAAGAAGCCUAGGCAGCGAUGCUGGGUCCCUC
Molecule: ribosomal RNA, 1354 nt
Filed under: Porpomyces mucidus
Lineage: Eukaryota; Fungi; Basidiomycota; Agaricomycetes; Trechisporales; Hydnodontaceae
Description: eukaryotic LSU rRNA
Rfam family: Eukaryotic large subunit ribosomal RNA
Source: RNAcentral